RNAcentral lists this ribosomal RNA (253 nucleotides) under uncultured bacterium. RNAcentral describes it as "partial 16S ribosomal RNA". It matches the Rfam family "Bacterial small subunit ribosomal RNA", at positions 524 to 776 of the family's 1533-position model. The record is from RNAcentral.
UACGUAGGGGGCAAGCGUUGUCCGGAAUUAUUGGGCGUAAAGGGCGCGUAGGUGGUCAGGUAAGUCAGGUGUGAAAGCUCUGGGCUUAACCCAGGAAUUGCAUCUGAUACUGCUUGGCUUGAGUACGGUAGAGGAGGGUGGAAUUCCCAGUGUAGCGGUGAAAUGCGUAGAUAUUGGGAGGAACACCGGUGGCGAAGGGGGCCCUCUGGACCGAAACUGACACUGAAGCGCGAAAGCUAGGGGAGCAAACGGG